CGGCGGACGGGUGAGUAACACGUGGAUAACCUACCUAUAAGACUGGGAUAACUUCGGGAAACCGGAGCUAAUACCGGAUAAUAUUUUGAACCGCAUGGUUCAAAAGUGAAAGACGGUUUUGCUGUCACUUAUAGAUGGAUCCGCGCUGCAUUAGCUAGUUGGUAAGGUAACGGCUUACCAAGGCAACGAUGCAUAGCCGACCUGAGAGGGUGAUCGGCCACACUGGAACUGAGACACGGUCCAG
RNAcentral lists this ribosomal RNA (244 nucleotides) under uncultured Staphylococcus sp. RNAcentral's name for it is "partial 16S ribosomal RNA". It matches the Rfam family "Bacterial small subunit ribosomal RNA", at positions 96 to 334 of the family's 1533-position model. Lineage: Bacteria; Bacillati; Bacillota; Bacilli; Caryophanales; Staphylococcaceae. The record is from RNAcentral.